CUCCUUAAGCUGUUUUAUGUNCUUCCUGAGUAGCUGGGAUUACAGGCGUGUGCCAAUGUGCCCAGCUCAGUCCUUCUGUUUGAUGUGCCCAAUUGUCCCUUAGUUUUUUCCCCCUUCUAAUCAGCUUUACAAUCUUCUACUUAUGUCCUUUCUUAUGACCCCACCCUGGCUUCUCUUAUAGCCUCCUCUGGGGUUGCCUCUGCUUACUCCUGUCAGCUGACGGGGGGGGGGCGGGGGGGGCUGGGCUCUGCCUCACACCUUGGGCUUCUCUGUUCCCUUUUCCCAAGGUUUCCUCAAGCCUCUUUGAAAAUCAGUGUCAUUCUUAAAAGGGACAGUUUAGAGUCCAUAGACCUACUUCAAAUCCAAAUGUCCCCACUUACCAGCUCUGUGACUUUGAAUAAACCUUUUUUUUUUUUUUUUUGUGGGGUGGGGGGUUGAACUCAGGGGCACUCAGCCACUGAGCCACAUCCCCAGCCCUUUUUAGUAUUUUAUUUAGAGGCAGGUCUCAUUGAGUUGCCUAGCACCUUGCCGUUGCUGAGACUGGCUUUCAACUCUUGAUCCUCCUGCCUCAGCCUCCCGAGCUGCUGGGAUAACAGGCGUGCACCGCCGUGCCCGGCCUUGAGCAAACCUCUUAACUGCUGUAAGCCUCAGUUCCCUCCAGUGUGACUGGGGCUCACUGUCUUAAGAAGCCUGUGGAUCAAGCAGAGUGUCUCCAGCUGCUUGUGGAUCCUAGAGAAAAGUGCUAUCUGGAGUCUUUGUUUUUGGAAGAUGACCCAUCAAUUGUGACAGAUAAAACCUCCAGCUCCUUCUAGCUCCUUCCUAGUGGGGGCUGAACUGCUCUGAAGACAAAAGCCAGAGACAUCUGAGCAGGAAGAGGGUGAGAACCCUGAAACAGGAGAGCAGGGGAGGGACAAGGGAGGGGCUGCUGCUCAUGGUGGCACACACUUAUAAUUCCAGCCCCUCUAGAGGCUGAGGCAGGAGGAUCACAAGUUCCAGGCCAGCCUGUCAGUUAGGCUCUAAGUAACUUAGAUGAUUUUUUGUUUUUGGUGGUUCUGGGGAUUGAACCCAGGGCCUUGUACAUGCAAGGCAAGCACUCUACCAACUGAGCUGUAUCCCCAGCCCAGGCUCUAAGUAACUUAGACCCUGUCUCAAAAAAUUGAAAAAAAAAAAUUAAAAGGGCUAGGGAUGCAACCCAGUGGCAAAGUGCCCCCGAGUUCCCUCCUCAGUAUAAAACAAAACAAAACAAAAACCGCCCUGAACCCCAGGGGAUCUGCUUUUUAAAUCUGAGCCACUUGCUAAAAAUAGCCCCACCUCUCUUCCCCCCAUGCCCCCCCAUCCCAAUUUUUCCCAACUUUUAGUAAAAUCCUCUUACAAGUUCUGCCUUAUAUUAGUCACAUUUUUUUUGGGGGGGGGAGGGAAUUAAGGAAAGGGCAGAGGACUGCCCAUCACAUGGACUCUCCUUGCCCCCAAGUCUGGUUUAGGUAGCAUCCUCCCUCUGUAGGUCUGCAGAAGAAAGAAGACCUGAGUGAACUCAUUUCCCCACAGAAUGGGAUGGAGAGGGAGGCAUCAGAGGAGAGGGAGCCCUCGCAGGCCGGGUCCCGCCAGUCGCAAGAGUCUUGGAAAGCAUGAGGCCGGGAUGGGGCGCUGCUUUUAUCUGAAUACCAGGGGGAAAAGUGACUUCCCAAACCCGAAAGGGACAUUAGGAGAGCAUUGGGAUCUGAGAAUUUAAUCUGAAGAUGUGCUUAAUGAAGGCUGCUAGCCCCAGGCUCAGGCAGAGGGAACUCUAGGAAAUUUGGGAGUUACUAUUUUUAAAAAAACCCAUUCCAACAGCCUAUUUUAUGGAUAGAAAGACGCGAAAAUCUCAUCAGAAGGCGGAGGCACACAGCUACAGCCUAUCUCCUUGAAGAUUUCCUUGGCGCCCAGGCCCUCCUCAGGGGACAGUGGUUUCUGGUGACAGGGGUCUAAGCAAGUACAAUCAGAUUGCUGUCAUUUGGAUUCUGAAGGUCCCACAAAGGCCCAGGCAUUGGAAUUGGGAACAGUGCCAGGCUGUGGCCUGUUGGGAAGUGAUAGAAUCUUCAGGAGGUGGGGCCUAGCGGAAGGUCCUGGAUGGCAUGCCCUUGGAGGGGAUAUUGGCAUCCUGGUCCCUCCUCUUCCUCUCUAUUUACUUCCUGGCUGCCAUGAAGUGACAGUGUCACCAUGCAUUCCCCACCAUGAUGUGCUUCCUCACUGAAGUCCCCAAAGGAACGGGGCCAAUGAACCGUGAAGUGAGCCAAAUAAACCUGUUCCCUUAUUAAGUGGAUUAUCUCAGGUAUUUUGUUACAGUAACAGAAAUCUGACUGAUAUCUGACCAUAUCUGGUAAUGACCAUUUUGUUCAUUCAUUUGUUUACUUAUAUUUGUAGUACUGGCGAUUGAAACCAAGGCCUUGUGCAUACUAGGCAAGCACUCUACCCCUGAGCUCCAACCCUGGCCUAUUUAUUAUUUAUUGGUCUGGAGAUUAAAUUCAGGGAGCUUCACCACUGAGCUACAUCCCUAGUCCUUUUUAUUUUUCAUUUUGAGACAAGAUCUCACUAAGUUGCUGAGAAACUAGCUACUUUACUGAGGCUGGCCUUGAACUUGUGAUCCUCCUGCCUCAGCCUCUUGAGAUGCUGAUAUUACAGGCAUGUGCCACCAUGCGGGGUUGGAAAUAUCCAUUUAGAAAAUUGUUAUCCUCCAUUACUAUGAUUUUAAAUAACAUUGAUUUUCUUCCUCUGUGUUCCCAGAACACCUUCUGUCUAUCUCCACUCAUCUGCCACCGAGCGCCAAUCUUGGAUAACUGUAUUUCUAUUUAGAUGUAAGAAAUCUGGCUGAUUUAACAUGUGUUUUGCAGAAAUAGAAUUGUUAUUUUGUGGUUCCAUUGCGUAUUCGGUCUCUCUUCCUCCAAUUUUGCUGUGAGCUCUUUGAGUCAGAAAUCAAACGGACAGUUCUCCUCUGGCUCCUCUACCUCGCACACCACCGAUGUGUCUGUCGCUGCUGAGGGUGUUAAUUCUGUUGGGCUCACAAAACAAUACUCCAAAGCCAGGCACUUGGACAUGCUGGGUACUUUGAACUAAAAAAAGCAGCCUCAGAACCAGGGUCUCUCUGACUUUCUCCCCGUCCCCUGUCUUUUGCUCCCCCCUCCCCUAAGUGCUGGGAGGGGCCGUCUCUGAAGCUCCGUGGGUGUCCACCUGAGGGCCGCAUCCUCUGGAGGACCAGCUCUCAGCACAGAGGACUAGAGCGACCUCACAUCCACAGUCCACACGGACUCUGUCCCAGGCUUUUUUUUUUGGCUCAUUCAUUUCCCGAAAAUACUUUCCUUUUUUUCUGUUUUGCCUACACCCCGUCUCCCCUGCCAGAAGGUAUAGAAGCUUCUAACUUGCAUCAGGUUAUCCGGUCCCCACUCUCCCAGGAUGCAGUAAACCUGUGUGCCUUUUCUACGAAUCUACUGCCAUUUAUUUAAUGAGACUGUUAUUGAACCUUCAGAGGGUACAGGGGAUGCCCCUUCUGCCCCUGAAGUGCCCUGAAGAUCCACCGUUGGGGGGGGGGCCUGAGGGCCACACCCGGGCAGAAGGGGCUGGGGCUUCGCUUGUGUCUUCACUUUAGUCUCCCGGGGUGUCGGAGCUGCACGGAUGUGGCAGAGUGGAGAAGGGUGGGCAGUGUCCAGCUGAGGGACACCCUGGGCCCUGGGAGCUGUGUCGAUGGGUCCCAAAGCCUACUCACGAGAUCUCUGCAAGAGACGUGGUUCCUCACUGGAGAAGUUCCUAUAUGGGAGUCACAGAGGAUCAUUGAAGUGUGGAGGCUGGACAUCUUCUCCACUGGAAAGGACCUCAAGUUCAUCACCUUCAACUCUCACCCACUGCAAGAAUCUCUGACAAGUUUCAUCCAGUCUUUAUUUGAAUGCCUUCAACGACAGAGAGUUCAAUACCAAUAAAACAGGGCUUUUGGUGACUUAAUCAUCUUUAUUCUCUCCACGUCCUCUUUUUU
RNAcentral lists this long non-coding RNA (4000 nucleotides) under Marmota monax (woodchuck). The record is from RNAcentral. Lineage: Eukaryota; Metazoa; Chordata; Mammalia; Rodentia; Sciuridae.